Molecule: long non-coding RNA, 1049 nt
Filed under: Struthio camelus australis
Lineage: Eukaryota; Metazoa; Chordata; Aves; Struthioniformes; Struthionidae
Description: lncRNA (ENSSCUG00000006891.1)
Source: RNAcentral
CCCCGGCGGGGGGGGUGGGGAUGGGGUCCACCAUGCAGCACCAGGUGUGGGUGACUAUCCGCUCAGCAUCCCCUGUGUCUGUCCCCAUUCCCCCACAGCUGCCAGCCUCCGGGAGCGUCAGCUGGCCCAGGAGAUGGCUGCCCAGGCGCUGGCCGAGAAGGAUGUGACCAUCACCCAGCUGCAGAGCAGGCUUGAUACCAUGGAGAUGGAGUAUGAGAAGAUCCUCCAUGGCAGCCUGGACCUUGUCUUGGCCAAGCUGGCAGGGGCCAGCCAGUACUGGGAGGAGAUGGGUACAUCCAUCUCCCUGGAGAACAAGGAGCGCCUGCAGGAGUUUGGCCUCAACCCCCUGGAGAUAUAGCACCCUGGAGACCCCCAGGAGAGGACGGGCUGGCCAGGACCUUGCCUCCCCAUGCCUUCAGAUUCCCCAUUCCCAUUGCCCACCACCCUAGCUCCCUUGGGCCAGGCAAGAGGACAGAGAUGAUCGCUCUCAUCUGGCCUUGGGACAUGCUACAUGCUGCUGAGACGCAGACCUCUCUGUAACACUACUCACAUGAGCAGCAGUGAGGAUUUGUCUUUUAAUCACAUCCCAUGGGUGACAUAGGAACAGUGCUGUGAUGGGGGCAGGUACCCACCACCCCUGGGUUUGCAGGAAGGAUGGGGUGAGGAGCUCAAGGGAGAGGAGAGGUUCAUGGAGUGGCAGACCUGAGCCAACAGGCUGAGCCCUGGGGGCCCAUGACAAGCCUUGGGGCUUCCUCUAGGGAGCCAUGGCCUCUGACACUCACUUUCCCUUUUGCACACUGGCCCUGGGGCCAGCUCCUGGGCUGAGCCAAGCCCCCGGCUGCCCAGCCGCCUGGGUCAUGGCUUGGAGAGCACUGCCUCAGCUCUCCUGAGAGCCUGCUGGAGCCUGGAGCUGGAUGGGAGGUGAGGGCUUCAACGCAGUGUCCCCAAAUACCCCUGGAGGCAGCUGGACAGGCAAAGGCACAGGUCAGUCUUCAGAAUAUAAGAAGCCACCGUGGUGGUUAAUAAAAGCUUGGGUCCAGCUGUGGACA